UUUCUUUCCUUCCGCGGAGGCCGUGGCGGCCGGCGCGUUGCGAGCCGUGUGCGCCGCGGGGCCUUCCACACCGGGGCGCGGGCCGGACAGGCGCUCCCUCCCGGAGCCUAGCUGGGCGCUCCAGACCCCGGGCGCGGACGCCAGCGCCCUAACGUGGUCUCUUUCUCCAGGAAAAUCCCUGAGGGGCCCGAGGCGGCCUGCGGCCUGUUCCGACGCUUGCUUUUUCCUGGAUGGCUGACGGCUCUCGCCCCGGCGCGGCCCGGGGAACCAGCGCGGACGAGCGCCCGCCAGCCCCGCGGUGGAGUGCGAGCUCGGAGGGGCUGGGUACCGGUGAAGACGCCGGACGUGGCGGAGGGUGAAAGAUGAAGUGCUUGGGGCGGAUUGCUCUAGUUUGGAUACCACGUGGGACGCAAAGGUGACUUCAGGUCAGGAUGUCUUUGAUGAUUUUGAGCUUCACAAGUUGCUUGGAUCGCAAAAGUUCCACGACUCUUGAGUAGUGAAUGCCUGGCAAACAUGCGGGAACAUACAUUUAAGAGAAUAAUAUGAAUAAAUGUUUUAAUAUUUGA
Long non-coding RNA from Dipodomys spectabilis (banner-tailed kangaroo rat), 566 nucleotides. RefSeq lists it as uncharacterized. The record is from RefSeq and is a predicted model, not a curated record. Lineage: Eukaryota; Metazoa; Chordata; Mammalia; Rodentia; Heteromyidae. The transcript is spliced from 3 exons.